CGGCGAACGGGUGAGUAAUACUUCGGAAUCUACCCAAUGGUGGGGAAUAACCAGCCGAAAGGUUGGCUAAUACCGCAUACGUCCUACGGGAGAAAGCAGGGGAUCGUAAGACCUUGCGCCAGUGGAUGAGCCGAAGCCGGAUUAGCUAGUUGGUAGGGUAACGGCCUACCAAGGCGACGAUCCGUAGCUGGUCUGAGAGGACGACCAGCCACACUGGGACUGAGACACGGCCCAG
RNAcentral lists this ribosomal RNA (235 nucleotides) under uncultured bacterium. Its description in RNAcentral is "partial 16S ribosomal RNA". It matches the Rfam family "Bacterial small subunit ribosomal RNA", at positions 96 to 334 of the family's 1533-position model. The record is from RNAcentral.